This 415-nucleotide long non-coding RNA is filed under the name Oryza brachyantha (malo sina). Its description in RNAcentral is "long non-coding RNA (OBRA_LNC000413)". The record is from RNAcentral. Lineage: Eukaryota; Viridiplantae; Streptophyta; Magnoliopsida; Poales; Poaceae.
GGAGCGGACCAGCCUCCCCCGUUCGGGCAUUCUCCCGUCACGCGCCACGUCUCUCUCUCCCCCCAACGGCGACGGUGGCCGCCCUUGAUCCCGGCGAGACAACCAGCCACCCUUCCCCUUCUCUCCCGCGACCUCCACACCCUGCAGCGCUGCUGCUCCGCCCCCAUCCGGCCUCAGAUCCGACGGCUGCGGCUCGUAUCGACACCCGGCCGGCGCAAACGCGGCAGCGAGGUCGGGGGUUGCGGCGGCGGGGGGGGGGGCGGCUCGGAGGCGGCUCCGCGAGCUCGGCGGCAGUCCUUGGCGGUGGCUGGGGUCGUCUUCGUCGGGCCCCUGCUUCAUCGCGUACGCGGCCUUCUCCUACCUACCAAGACUCCUCCCCUCCCCGCUGUCUCGCUCCUCUCCUUCCCUCCCCGUC